This 253-nucleotide ribosomal RNA is filed under the name uncultured bacterium. RNAcentral describes it as "partial 16S ribosomal RNA". It matches the Rfam family "Bacterial small subunit ribosomal RNA", at positions 524 to 776 of the family's 1533-position model. The record is from RNAcentral.
UACGUAGGGGGCAAGCGUUGUCCGGAUUUAUUGGGCGUAAAGCGCACGCAGGCGGUCUUUUACGUUUCGAGUGACAGGUGGUGGCUUAACCACCACAGGCCUUGGAAAACGGGAAGACUUGAGGGCUUCAGAGGGACGCGGAAUUACAGGUGUAGCGGUAAAAUGCGUUUAUAUCUGUAAGAACACCAAAGGCGAAAGCAGCUUGCUGGAACGGUUCUGACACUCAUGGACGAAAGCGUGGGGAGCGAAAAGG